This 424-nucleotide ribosomal RNA is filed under the name Verrucomicrobiota bacterium. RNAcentral describes it as "Verrucomicrobia bacterium partial 16S ribosomal RNA". It matches the Rfam family "Bacterial small subunit ribosomal RNA", at positions 355 to 776 of the family's 1533-position model. The record is from RNAcentral. Lineage: Bacteria; Pseudomonadati; Verrucomicrobiota.
UGAGGAAUAUUGGUCAAUGGACGCAAGUCUGAACCAGCCAAGUAGCGUGCAGGAUGACGGCCCUCUGGGUUGUAAACUGCUUUUAUAUGGGGAUAAAGUGGGGAACGUGUUCCCUUUUGCAGGUACCAUAUGAAUAAGGACCGGCUAAUUCCGUGCCAGCAGCCGCGGUAAUACGGAAGGUUCGGGCGUUAUCCGGAUUUAUUGGGUUUAAAGGGAGCGUAGGCCGUUUGGUAAGCGUGUUGUGAAAUGUAGGAGCUCAACUUCUAGAUUGCAGCGCGAACUGUCAGACUUGAGUGCGCACAACGUAGGCGGAAUUCAUGGUGUAGCGGUGAAAUGCUUAGAUAUCAUGAAGAACUCCGAUGGCGAAGGCAGCUUACGGGAGCGCAACUGACGCUGAAGCUCGAAGGUGCGGGUAUCGAACAGG